RNAcentral lists this small RNA (576 nucleotides) under Pongo abelii (Sumatran orangutan). RNAcentral's name for it is "retained intron". Lineage: Eukaryota; Metazoa; Chordata; Mammalia; Primates; Hominidae. The record is from RNAcentral.
UGUUACUCAGGGCCAGAUAACUACAUACCUGAAGACAUCUUUAGAGGAUGUAGUAAAGGUAAAAAGGGACAUUUUAAGUAAUUAGAGGAAGUAAUGAACCCCAAAUCAGUCUUUCUGUAUGCUACAUGUAUUGUAGUUAAUGCUUCAGUCAGAUGGAAAAUUUGUUUUUUGCUUCUAGAUGUCCUGUGUUGAAGGUUAUUUUUAAAAUUCUAGGUUUUGUUGACUAUCUUCUGAUUUUAGAUGUUUAAUCUUACCCUUUUCUCUACUUGCUUACCCUUUUUCUAACCUAUCUUUUCUUUCCUUUUCUCCUCUCUUCUCUGAUGCCCAUACACCCCCCAACUAACCAACCUUACAGGUCCAUUCAGAUGAUGAAGUGUUUGAAAGAGGAUUGAAUGCUCUAGUUCAGCUAAGUGUCGUUGUUGGUCCUUCUCUAAACGACCAUCUGAAGCAUCUGCUUACAAGCGGAAGCCUUAGCAUCAUCAAAUCUAAAAUUCCAACAUACUGCUCCAUAUGCUGUUGAAGAAGGGAGCCAACAAAAAUUGUUUUUUCUACCUGGUGACGUGUCAAGCACUGACC